This 484-nucleotide ribosomal RNA is filed under the name uncultured bacterium. RNAcentral describes it as "partial 16S ribosomal RNA". It matches the Rfam family "Bacterial small subunit ribosomal RNA", at positions 30 to 507 of the family's 1533-position model. The record is from RNAcentral.
AUUGAACGCUGGCGGCAGGCCUAACACAUGCAAGUCGAGCGGAUGAAGGGAGCUUGCUCCUGGAUUCAGCGGCGGACGGGUGAGUAAUGCCUAGGAAUCUGCCUGGUAGUGGGGGAUAACGUCCGGAAACGGGCGCUAAUACCGCAUACGUCCUGAGGGAGAAAGUGGGGGAUCUUCGGACCUCACGCUAUCAGAUGAGCCUAGGUCGGAUUAGCUAGUUGGUGGGGUAAAGGCCUACCAAGGCGACGAUCCGUAACUGGUCUGAGAGGAUGAUCAGUCACACUGGAACGGAGACACGGUCCAGACUCCUACGGGAGGCAGCAGUGGGGAAUACUGGACAAUGGGCGAAAGCCUGAUCCAGCCAUGCCGCGUGUGUGAAGAAGGUCUUCGGAUUGUAAAGCACUUUAAGUUGGGAGGAAGGGCAGUAAGUUAAUACCUUGCUGUUUUGACGUUACCAACAGAAUAAGCACCGGCUAACUUCGUG